RNAcentral lists this ribosomal RNA (639 nucleotides) under uncultured bacterium. Its description in RNAcentral is "bacterial SSU rRNA". It matches the Rfam family "Bacterial small subunit ribosomal RNA", at positions 157 to 809 of the family's 1533-position model. The record is from RNAcentral.
CCGGUGCUAAUACCGAAUAUUGAAACAUAAGUGGCAUCACUGAGUUUUGAAAGAAUUUCGGUGGAGGAUGACUUCGCGGCCUAUCAGCUAGUUGGUGAGGUAAUGGCUCACCAAGGCAACGACGGGUAGCCGGCCUGAGAGGGCGACCGGCCACACUGGGACUGAGACACGGCCCAGACUCCUACGGGAGGCAGCAGUGGGGAAUAUUGGGCAAUGGAGGAAACUCUGACCCAGCGACGCCGCGUGCGGGAUGAAGGCCUUCGGGUUGUAAACCGCUUUCAGUAGGGAAGAAGCGAAAGUGACGGUACCUACAAAAGAAGCACCGGCUAACUAUGUGCCAGCAGCCGCGGUAAUACAUAGGGUGCAAGCGUUGUCCGGAAUUAUUGGGCGUAAAGAGCUCGUAGGUCGUUUGUUACGUCGGAUGUGAAAACCUGAGGCUCAACCUCAGGCCUGCAUUCGAUACGGGCAAACUAGAGUUUGGUAGGGGAGACUGGAAUUCCUGGUGUAGCGGUGGAAUGCGCAGAUAUCAGGAGGAACACCAAUGGCGGAGGCAGGUCUCUGGGCCAAUACUGACACUGAGGAGCGAAAGUCUGGGGAGCGAACAGGAUUAGAUACCCUGGUAGUCCAGACCGUAAACGG